GAGGUGUGAUGAUUUGAAACUUUUGGUCCGUGUUUCUGAGUGCCUAGCGCACCUCUGACGACUACAGUUUCUUCGUCUGACCUC
Molecule: non-coding RNA, 84 nt
Organism: Volvox carteri f. nagariensis
Lineage: Eukaryota; Viridiplantae; Chlorophyta; Chlorophyceae; Chlamydomonadales; Volvocaceae
Source: Rfam